Molecule: ribosomal RNA, 472 nt
Filed under: uncultured bacterium
Lineage: Bacteria
Description: partial 16S ribosomal RNA
Rfam family: Bacterial small subunit ribosomal RNA
Source: RNAcentral
GACGAACGCUGGCGGCGUGCUUAACACAUGCAAGUCGAACGCUGAAGCUUGGUGCUUGCACUGGGUGGAUGAGUGGCGAACGGGUGAGUAAUAAGUGAGUAACCUGCCCUUGACUCUGGGAUAAGCCUGGGAAACUGGGUCUAAUACUGGAUACGACAUGUCACCGCAUGGUGGUGUGUGGAAAGGGUUUUACUGGUUUUGGAUGGGCUCACGGCCUAUCAGCUUGUUGGUGGGGUAAUGGCUCACCAAGGCGACGACGGGUAGCCGGCCUGAGAGGGUGACCGGCCACACUGGGACUGAGACACGGCCCAGACUCCUACGGGAGGCAGCAGUGGGGAAUAUUGCACAAUGGGCGGAAGCCUGAUGCAGCGACGCCGCGUGAGGGAUGACGGCCUUCGGGUUGUAAACCUCUUUCAGCACGGAAGAAGCGAAAGUGACGGUACGUGCAGAAGUAGCGCCGGCUAACUACGUG